Molecule: ribosomal RNA, 783 nt
Filed under: uncultured crenarchaeote
Lineage: Archaea; Thermoproteati; Thermoproteota
Description: bacterial SSU rRNA
Rfam family: Archaeal small subunit ribosomal RNA
Source: RNAcentral
GUGGACAACCUACCCAAAAGUCUGGGAUAACCCCGGGAAACUGGGGAUAAUACCGGAUAGAUCAUCAUUGCUGGAAGGCUUGGUGGUUGAAACUUCAGGGGCUUUUGGAUGGGUCUGCGGCUGAUUAGGUUGUUGCCGGUGUAACGUACCGUCAAACCUGUAACCGGUACGGGCUCUGAGAGGAGGAGCCCGGAGAUGGGCACUGAGACAAGGGCCCAGGCCCUAUGGGGCGCAGCAGGUGCGAAAUCUCUGCAAUAGGCGAAAGCUUGACAGGGUUACUCUGAGUGAUUCCCGCUAAGGGGAUCUUUUGGCACCUUUAAAAAUGGUGCAGAAUAAGGGGUGGGCAAGUCUGGUGUCAGCCGCCGCGGUAAUACCAGCACCCCGAGUGGUCGGGACGAUUAUUGGGCCUAAAGCAUCCGUAGCCGGUACUGCAAGUCUUCCGUUAAAUCCACCUGCUUAACAGUUGGGCUGCGGGGGAUACUACAGCGCUAGGAGGCGGGAGAGGCAAGCGGUACUCAAUGGGUAGGGGUAAAAUCCGCUGAUCCAUUGAAGACUACCAGUGGCGAAGGCGGCUUGCCAGAACGCGCUCGACGGUGAGGGAUGAAAGCUGGGGGGAGCAAACCGGAUUAGAUACCCGGGUAGUCCCAGCUGUAAACGAUGCAGACUCGGUGAUGGGCUGGCCUUGUGCCAACCCAGUGCCGCAGGGAAGCCGUUAAGUCUGCCGCCUGGGGAGUACGGUCGCAAGACUGAAACUUAAAGGAAUUGGCGGGGGAGCACAAGGGC